RNAcentral lists this ribosomal RNA (253 nucleotides) under uncultured bacterium. Its description in RNAcentral is "partial 16S ribosomal RNA". It matches the Rfam family "Bacterial small subunit ribosomal RNA", at positions 524 to 776 of the family's 1533-position model. The record is from RNAcentral.
UACGGAGGGUGCGAGCGUUAAUCGGAAUGACUGGGCGUAAAGGGCACGCAGGCGGUGCGUUAAGUCAGAUGUGAAAUCCCCGGGCUCAACCCGGGAACGGCAUUUGAAACUGGCGAGCUGGAGUUUCGUAGAGGGGGGUAGAAUUCCGGGUGUAGCGGUGAAAUGCGUAGAUAUCCGGAGGAAUACCGGUGGCGAAGGCGGCCCCCUGGACGAAGACUGACGCUGAUGUGCGAAAGCGUGGGGAUCAAACAGG